AGUGAACGCUGGCGGUAGGCCUAACACAUGCAAGUCGAACGGCAGCACAGUAAGUGCUUGCUCUCACGAGUGUCGAGUGGCGGACGGGUGAGGAAUACACCGGAAUAUACUUUUUCGCGGGGGAUAAUGCAGGGAAACUUACGCUAAUACCGCAUACGACCUCCAGGUGAAAGCAGGCGAUCUUCGAACCUUGUGCGAUGGAAUUAGCCGACCUCGGAUUAGCUAGUUGGCGGGGUAAAGGCCCACCAAGGCGACGAUCCGUAGCUGGUCUGAGAGGAUGAUCAGACAGACUGGAAGUGAGAAUGAGUCGAGACACCUAGAGGGGGAAGCAGUGGGGAAUAUUGGACAAUGGGGGAGAGCCUGAUCCAGCAAUACCGCGUGAAUGAUGAAGGAGUUAGGGUUGUAGAGCCCUGUUGUUGGGAGAGAAGAACAGCAGGUUAAUACCCCGCGGUUCUGACGGUACCCGAAGAAUAAGCACCGGCUAACUUCGUG
Molecule: ribosomal RNA, 492 nt
Filed under: uncultured bacterium
Lineage: Bacteria
Description: partial 16S ribosomal RNA
Rfam family: Bacterial small subunit ribosomal RNA
Source: RNAcentral